Molecule: ribosomal RNA, 300 nt
Filed under: uncultured bacterium
Lineage: Bacteria
Description: bacterial SSU rRNA
Rfam family: Bacterial small subunit ribosomal RNA
Source: RNAcentral
AGUCCCGCAACGAGCGCAACCCCUAUCCUUGUUUGCCAGCACGUAAUGGUGGGAACUCCAGGGAGACUGCCGGUGAUAAACCGGAGGAAGGUGGGGACGACGUCAAGUCAUCAUGGCCCUUACGAGUAGGGCUACACACGUGCUACAAUGGCGUAUACAGAGGGCUGCCAACUCGCGAGAGUGAGCGAAUCCCACAAAGUACGUCGUAGUCCGGAUUGGAGUCUGCAACUCGACUCCAUGAAGUCGGAAUCGCUAGUAAUCGUGGAUCAGAAUGCCACGGUGAAUACGUUCCCGGGCCUU